Molecule: ribosomal RNA, 321 nt
Filed under: uncultured bacterium
Lineage: Bacteria
Description: bacterial SSU rRNA
Rfam family: Bacterial small subunit ribosomal RNA
Source: RNAcentral
GAUGAACGCUAGCGGCAGGCUUAACACAUGCAAGUCGAGGGGCAUCGAGAGAGUAGCAAUACUUUUGUCGGCGACCGGCGGACGGGUGCGUAACGCGUAUGCAACCUACCUUAUACAGGGGGGAUAACCUUUCGAAAGGGAGACUAAUACCGCAUAACAUUACUUUGAGGCAUCUUGAGGUAAUUAAAUCUUCGGAGGUAUAAGAUGGGCAUGCGUAGCAUUAGCUAGAUGGUGCGGUAACGGCGUACCAUGGCGACGAUGCUUAGGGGUUCUGAGAGGAAGGUCCCCCACACUGGUACUGAGAUACGGACCAGACUCCUA